Molecule: RNA transcript, 1641 nt
Organism: Equus caballus (horse)
Lineage: Eukaryota; Metazoa; Chordata; Mammalia; Perissodactyla; Equidae
Gene name: collagen, type I, alpha 1a-like
Source: RefSeq, a predicted model, not a curated record
UGUCCAGGUAGUGCUCCAAGUACAUGGCGGUCGCCAUCUUCGUCCGCGGCCGCGCUCUGGGUCUGCGCGGGCGGGCGGCGCCGCGAGGGGCGAAGGGCGGGGCCGGCGCGCUCACUAUUCAUGAGCCUCGCGCGCUGAUUGGCCCGCCGGGGGCGGGGCGGUGGCCGGCCACGCCCUCCGGCUUCCGGUCGGCGGGUUGCGCGCGGCGCUGCGCGGGAGCUGGGCGGCGGGGGUCUGGCGGCGCUUCCGGGGAGGGCGGGGGGCCCUAUGGGGCCCAGUGCGCGCGGGAUCAGGGCCCGCAGGCCCGGACGCCUUGCUUCUGCCCGUUACGCCAGGCCCUCGGCGCCACGUGGCCCCGGGGUCCGGCCGUCCGCUUCCCGCCAGAGGUCCGCGCCUAUGUACGGGCGCCCUGGGUAGUUGGGGCACAGAGCGGGUGCCCGCGAGGGGACGAACGUGGUCCGGGGACCCAGAGGGUCCGCGAGAGCGCGCGGAUGCGCGCCGGAGACCGGGCGGCCAGCGGGGUCGGGGGUCAGCCUCUGCAGCCCUUGUGUCCUCCCUGGCCAGCGCGGGCCUCGGGGAAGGGGCUCCUCAUGCCUCCGCCGGAUCGGGGCACCAAGGAACAGCUGACGACCACACUGGUAACUUGGUCACCUGGCCACAUCUAACUGCAAGGAGAGCUGGGAAAAGGAGUGCAGCAGGGCAAUGAUGCGCCCAGCAGACUCUAUUCUUCCGGAAGCAGCUUUGCUGAGGAAAGGCCGUGUGAGGACACAAUGAGAACUGGACGAUUCCAACUAUAUAACCAUCUAUUCGAUGAGAAGGCAGCCGUCUGCAACUCAAAGGGAGAGUCUCACCAAACAACAACCCUCCUCUCACCUUGAUCUUGGACAUCCAGCCUCCAGACUGUGAGAAAAGAAGCCACUCCAUCUGUGGCAUUUUGUUAUGGCAGCCUAGCUGAAACAGAAAGACUUUGCUGGAUAGUAGCAAUGUCUGACCCAAAUCCUGGAGAUGGAAGGUGUAACACACUAAGAAACAAGGAAACAGGAAAAGGGUUUUAGUCUUUUUACUUUAAUGGAAAAUCUCAAACACACAAAAUUAGAGAGACCAUAAUAAACCCCAUGUGCCCAUCAGCCAAUUUCAACAAUUCUCAGCUUAAUGACCAGUUUUACUUCACCUGUCUCCAAGCACACUCAACCCAGCAUCCUAUCAUUUCCUCCAUGGUGCCCGCUCAUCAGAAGGCCUCCACGGUGGUGUGGAGAGAUCCUACUCCCACUGCUCCAGGGCAGGCUGUGCUGAAGGUCAGGCCAGAGACUUGUCAUUGUAGCAGAGCACACAAGAGACUGGACAUCCAGAUGUGAGGGCUCUCCUCUGCCCAUGUGGGGCCACGAAGUCAGACUGGACACACAGAGAUGCUGCAGUCACCCAUGACCAUGAAGGAGAAGCUAAGAGGAUUGCUGAGAUGUUGCCCCAACACUGGACGUCAGUGAGCAGCAGAAGCAGUUCUUGGCUGCCUAACUCUGGCUUGGCCUUAUGUGAGAUAAUUAAAUAUCCUGAUGGUUUAAGCCACAGUUAGGCUGGUAUUCUGGUACUUAAAGUCAUCCUGAUAAAAAGAGGCAUGACAUGCUGGAAAAGGUGGAAGCAAAA